CCCCAUCAAGAGAUUCGACUCGUGCUGACCGUGGCAGACAAAACAAGCUGACGGAUCUGUUUUUCUGUUUCCUAAAGAGUUGUAGUUUGUUAGGAAAGUUAGAGAUAGAGUUGGAUUUCGGCCUCCUUACUCAAGGUGGACAAAAAUAUCUCUCCCUCCUCCUUUAUAUACCCCAUGAGCCCCCCUAAGGAGUCUUGGGUUUUGAUUAGAUAAAGUUUAAGCCUUUGCGACUUUCGUGUAAUCGCAUGUGUUGGUUAGACCACCUGUUUUACCGUCAUCAAGACUCCAACAAUAUUGAGUAUUCAGAUUCGCGAACCUUCAUAUCUCCUAUUUGCAAUUUCAGAUUGUUUUUCAUGUUGUUCUUGCUUGUUCUUCGAUUGCUUGCAGGAACAAAGACCUUCGUGGUCAGGUUGAUCGUGCCCCCGCGGGAUCAAUAACCUUCUGGAGUUGGUGUAUCGAUCGCUAAGGUGCUGCCUCCUAGGUUGUAGUCCGAUCGUCAACGUCACCUCCUACCAAAUCGAUAAUUAGGUAUCUCAUCGAAAGAUUGGGACAGCCUCGAGGCUAUCACGUGGUAUCAGAGCUUAAGGUUGCUCGGUGAGACCUUUCAGUUUAUCCCUAGCUUAGAUCUGUUUUUUUACCUAUCGUCAAGAAAAAGCCAAAAAAAAAUUUAGAUUAGUUACCUUGUCCUAGAACUAAUCUGAGCCUUGCAAUUUUCACAUUAGUUUUGCAUUGUUGAAUCUUUGCUGCAUUAAUCGUGUCGAGUUGUUGGAUUAGAUUGGAUCGUUUUUCAGAUUUUUUCUACUAGAUCGAACUUGUUUUUGUCUUUUGAUUUCGUGUGACACAAGCUUUCCAUCAAUCUUCCACCGCCAAACUUCUUGCCACACCACCGCCAUAAUCUUCCGCCGCCACCAUAUCUUCCACCGAGUCCCUCUUCGAGUCCUACACCGAGUCCCUCGUCGAGUCCUACACUGAGUCCCUCUUCGAGUCCUACAUCGAGUCGGCAAGUUAUAGUUUUCAGCCGCGAGUCCAAGUCCGAGUCGGAAAGUGUUUCAUAAUAGAUCGAAUUUUCUUUAGAGAUCAAGUUGUUCGGAAAGUUGUGAAAAAAUGAAAGGAAAGAAAAAAAAAGGAAAGAAAGAAAGAAAAAAAAACAAAAGAAAAAGAGAAAGAGUUCGAGUCAGUUUCGGACCCAAGUCCGAGUAUAAUUUUAGUUUCGGAUGGGUUUGACCCGUGUUCAGUCAAACGGACGUAUCUUUUGCGUACCAACUCGUAUUUGGACGUUCUUGGACUUUUUGGAAAGCUCACGAUGAGGCGCAUCAGGAAAUAUCCAGGGCUUUGCCCCGCACUUUGACCCUCAAAUUCGGUUUGUAAGGUGAACUUUCGGAGCUUCCAAGUUUCUGCAUCCGUUUUUCGGCGUCGCUGCAGCCCGGUGUUUUACAGUUUUCUCCACCGUCCGACAUCCGUUUUGAGUGAUCUUGCCCUUGCUGGAAAGUUGUGUCGAUACGCUUCUAACCCAUAUUUUUCCAUAUUUUUCUGAAUUUUCCUUACUACAGCCUUUGCUGUUCUUCGACAGACCGACGUACAGUUUUCCGGUCCUUCUUUUGCGUGAGUUUCUGUGGUUAAAAAAAAGAAGAAGAAGAAGAAAAGAAUAAGAAGCCAAACAGAAGGCCACAAAAAGAAAAAGAAAAAAAAAGAAAAAAAAUCCCAAGGAUUUACUUGUUGUGCCAUCUUUUGAUCUAUCUAUUCCUACCUUCUUCAGUAUCUAGGCUUAGAUUAUUUUUGUAAUUCGUUCUUUUCGACUCCAGCAGCUAGGACUAGCAUUAUCGAGCAUAUUUUCAACUUUGCAUUGCUGAUUUGAUUAUUUGCUAUUCCUUGCUACUCACAAAAGCCUGCAAGCUCCACAGAUUCUACACCUAGGUUGGUUUGUUACCGAGGCAUCGAUACAUUUAAUCUCCGGAGGUGUUGGUUACGCCGCUUUCCAUCACCUUCCUGUUUUGCAUGGUAAGAACUUGUAAGAACUUGAUUUUUAGCUUGAGAGUUGAGCGACUUGUAGCCACAUCCUAGUAGUUGAUAGAAACAUAUUACUGUGAUUUGUUUUUUGUUUUCUACUAACCAUGACAGGACUUACACGAAGCAUGGCAACUAGACUGAUGCUAUCCCGUGACCGCGAUGAGUGCUUUUCACCACGGCCAUCCUCCACGUCUCUUGUUGAUAAUGCCACGGCAACAGUACAAAACAAUCCUUCUAAUACAAUUAAAUUGUGUGUACCUUUCUUUGAGGGGAAAAAUGAUGCUGAAACGUAUAUAGAUUGGGAGCUAGCUUUAACUGAACAAUUCACAUGCUUCCAUGUACUUGAUAGUCGCAAGGUUCAAAUUGCUAGUAGUAAAUUUACUUUUGCUGCUUUAUCUUGGUGGAAUGAGAUAGUUAGAGAAAAAAAAAUUCCCCACACUUGGGUUUUGAUUAGAUAAAGUUUAGCCAUCUUUGCUACUUUCGUGUAAUCGCGUGUGUCGGUUAGACCACCUGUUUUACCGUCGUCAAGACUCCAACUUAUCGUUUCGUUGAGACAUUGGUUUGAUAUAGUAUAUUCGCAAUUUCAGAUUGCAUCCGCUAUUUAUCUUGUUCUUGCUUGUUCUUCGAUUGCUUGCAGGAACAAAGACCUUCGUGGUCAGGUUGAUCGUGCCCUCGCGUGAUCAAUAACCCUCUGGAGUUGGUGUAUCGAUUGCUAAGGCGCUGCCUCCUAGGCCGUAGUCGGAUCGUCAACGUCACCUCCUACCCAAAUCGAGAGUUAUCAAUCUCAUCGAAAGAUCGGGCCACCCCGACCC
RNAcentral lists this long non-coding RNA (2819 nucleotides) under Brachypodium distachyon (stiff brome). Its description in RNAcentral is "long non-coding RNA (BDIS_LNC002159)". The record is from RNAcentral. Lineage: Eukaryota; Viridiplantae; Streptophyta; Magnoliopsida; Poales; Poaceae.